Molecule: ribosomal RNA, 425 nt
Filed under: uncultured bacterium
Lineage: Bacteria
Description: partial 16S ribosomal RNA
Rfam family: Bacterial small subunit ribosomal RNA
Source: RNAcentral
GUAGGGAAUCUUGCGCAAUGGGCGAAAGCCUGACGCAGCCAUGCCGCGUGAAUGAUGAAGGUCUUAGGAUUGUAAAAUUCUUUCACCGGGGACGAUAAUGACGGUACCCGGAGAAGAAGCCCCGGCUAACUUCGUGCCAGCAGCCGCGGUAAUACGAAGGGGGCUAGCGUUGCUCGGAAUUACUGGGCGUAAAGGGAGCGUAGGCGGAUAGUUUAGUCAGAGGUGAAAGCCCAGGGCUCAACCUUUGAAUUGCCUUUGAUACUGGCUAUCUUGAGUAUGGAAGAGGUAUGUGGAACUCCGAGUGUAGAGGUGAAAUUCGUAGAUAUUCGGAAGAACACCAGUGGCGAAGGCGACACACUGGUCCAUUACUGGCGCUGAGACUCGAAAGCGUGGGGAGCAAACAAGAUUAGAAACCCGGGUAGUCC